AGCGAAGCACUUUGCUUAGAUUCUUCGGAUGAAGAGGAUUGUGACUGAGCGGCGGACGGGUGAGUAACGCGUGGGUAACCUGCCUCAUACAGGGGGAUAACAGUUAGAAAUGACUGCUAAUACCGCAUAAGACCACAGCACCGCAUGGUGCGGGGGUAAAAACUCCGGUGGUAUGAGAUGGACCCGCGUCUGAUUAGCUAGUUGGUAAGGUAACGGCUUACCAAGGCGACGAUCAGUAGCCGACCUGAGAGGGUGACCGGCCACAUUGGGACUGAGACACGGCCCAAACUCCUACGGGAGGCAGCAGUGGGGAAUAUUGCACAAUGGGGGAAACCCUGAUGCAGCGACGCCGCGUGAGCGAAGAAGUAUUUCGGUAUGUAAAGCUCUAUCAGCAGGGAAGAAAAUGACGGUACCUGACUAAGAAGCACCGGCUAAAUACGUGCCAGCAGCCGCGGUAAUACGUAUGGUGCAAGCGUUAUCCGGAUUUACUGGGUGUAAAGGGAGCGUAGACGGAUGGGCAAGUCUGAUGUGAAAACCCGGGGCUCAACCCCGGGACUGCAUUGGAAACUGUUCAUCUAGAGUGCUGGAGAGGUAAGUGGAAUUCCUAGUGUAGCGGUGAAAUGCGUAGAUAUUAGGAGGAACACCAGUGGCGAAGGCGGCUUACUGGACAGUAACUGACGUUGAGGCUCGAAAGCGUGGGGAGC
RNAcentral lists this ribosomal RNA (704 nucleotides) under uncultured Lachnospiraceae bacterium. RNAcentral describes it as "bacterial SSU rRNA". It matches the Rfam family "Bacterial small subunit ribosomal RNA", at positions 65 to 769 of the family's 1533-position model. The record is from RNAcentral. Lineage: Bacteria; Bacillati; Bacillota; Clostridia; Lachnospirales; Lachnospiraceae.